Molecule: ribosomal RNA, 1480 nt
Filed under: Ectopseudomonas mendocina
Lineage: Bacteria; Pseudomonadati; Pseudomonadota; Gammaproteobacteria; Pseudomonadales; Pseudomonadaceae
Description: bacterial SSU rRNA
Rfam family: Bacterial small subunit ribosomal RNA
Source: RNAcentral
UGCAAGUCGAGCGGAUGAGAAGAGCUUGCUCUUCGAUUCAGCGGCGGACGGGUGAGUAAUGCCUAGGAAUAUGCAGAGAACGGUUAAUGGCUCACGAGGUUCUAGAACUUUUGGAGGUUCUAGAACAUGCCUGGUAGUGGGGGACAACGUUUCGAAAGGAACGCUAAUACCGCAUACGUCCUACGGGGGAACCUUCGGGCCUUGCGCUAUCAAAUGGUUUGUUAGAUGAGCCUAGGUCGGAUUAGCUAGUUGGUGAGGCAAGGGGGACGAUCCGUAACUGGUCUGAGAGGAUGAUCAGUCACACUGGAACUGAGACACGGUCCAGACUCCUACGGGAGGCAGCAGUGGGGAAUAUUGGACAAUGGGCGAAAGCCUGAUCCAGCCAUGCCGCGUGUGUGAAGAAGGUGGUCGGAUUCAGGAUGUAAAGCACUUUAAGUUGGGAGGAAGGGCAUUAACCUAAUACGUUAGUGACGUUACCGAAAAAAUAAGCACCGGCUAACUCUGUGCCAGCAGCCGCGGUAAUACAGAGGGUGCAAGCGUUAAUCGGAAUUACUGGGCGUAAAAUUACAAGUUGAAUGUGAAAGCCCCGGGCUCAACCUGGGAACUGCAUCCAAAACUGGCAAGCUAGAGUACGGUAGAGGGUGGUGGAAUUUCCUGUGUAGCGGUGAAAUGCGUAGAUAUAGGAAGGAACACCAGUGGCCCCGCACAAGCGGUGAAGGCGACCACCUGGACUGAUACUGACACUGAGGGUUAUGGUGGAAAAGUUAAGUGGGUUUGCGAAAGCGUGGGGAGCAAAUAGAUACCCUGGUAGUCCACGCCGUAAACGAUGUCAACUAGCCGGUCCAGAGAGGUUCUAGAACGUUGGAAUCCUUGAGAUUUUAGUGGCGGGGCUAAAGCAUUAAGUUGACCGCCUGGGGAGUACGGCCGCAAGGUUAAAACUCAAAUGAAUUGACGGGGGGGAGCAUGUGGUUUAAUUCGAAGCAACGCGAAGAACCUUACCAGGCCUUGACAUGCAGGAUGGAUUGGUGCCUUCGGGAACUCUGACACAGGUGCUGCAUGGCUGUCGUCAGCUCGUGUCGUGAGAUGUUGGGUUAAGUCCCGUAACGAGCGCAACCCUUGUCCUUAGUUACCAGCACGCACCCCAAGGAGACUGCCGGUGACAAACCGGAGGAAGGUGGGGAUGACGUCAAGUCAUCAUGGCCCUUACGGCCUGCCCUACACACGUGCUACAAUGGUCGGUACAGAGGGUUGCCAAGCCGCCACAAAACCGAUCGUAGUCCGGAUCGCAGUCUGCAACUCGACUGCGUGAAGUCGGAAUCGCUAGUAAUCGCGAAUCAGAAUGUCGCGGUGAAUACGUUCCCGGGCCUUGUACACACCGCCCGUCACACCAUGGGGCACCAGAAGUAGCUAGUCUAACCUUCGGGAGGACGGUUACCACGGUGUGAUUCAUGACUGGGGUGAAGGUAGAGGGUUGGAACUA